AUGGAGGGUGUGGUGAUUAGACACCGGACUGUGGAGGUGAACGGCAUAUCGAUGCACGUGGCGGAAGCCGGCCCCGAGGUGGACGCCAAGGGGGCGGUGUUGUUCCUGCACGGCUUCCCGGAGCUGUGGUACUCGUGGCGCCAUCAGAUGGACCACUUGGGGGCUUGUGGUUACCGUUGCGUCGCGCCUAACCUCCGUGGCUAUGGUGGCAGCACUGCACCACCGGGUGUGGCCUCUUACACAGCCUUUCACAUAGUUGGUGACCUUGUUGCGCUCCUCGACACCUUAGGGCUUGCGAAGGAGCCAGGUGUUGCGGAGAAGCAAUUCGCCCCGGCGCAUGCCAAGCGCCUGAUGAGGCAAAUGCUGUGCCAUUGCUUUAGCCACGGCGUGUUCUGUGAUGAGGAGAUGGAUGACAACAAGUACCCAACAUCACCGCUUCCGCCCUGGCUCACCGAGGCAGACAUUGACUAUUUUGUCACCUCCUUUGAAAAGACUGGCUUCACUGGAGCCAUCAACUACUAUCACAACUUUGACAAGAACUGCGAGCUGGCGGCACCGUGGGCAGAUGCCAAAGUGCAGGUGCCGACCAAGUACAUUGUGGGCGACGGUGACAUCACGUACAACUUUGAGGGGAUCCAGGAUUACAUCCAUGGUGGUGGGUUUAAGGAGGAUGUUCCGCUCCUAGAUGAGGUGGUCAUCAUCCCCGGCGCUGGCCACUUUAUCCAGCAGGAGAGGGCCCAGGAGGUCAACAACCAUAUCUAUGACUUCAUCAUCAAGUUCUGA
This 783-nucleotide ribosomal RNA is filed under the name Triticum aestivum (bread wheat). RNAcentral's name for it is "partial small subunit ribosomal RNA". Lineage: Eukaryota; Viridiplantae; Streptophyta; Magnoliopsida; Poales; Poaceae. The record is from RNAcentral.